Long non-coding RNA from Camelus dromedarius (Arabian camel), 696 nucleotides. RefSeq lists it as uncharacterized. The record is from RefSeq and is a predicted model, not a curated record. NCBI's taxonomy places the organism in Eukaryota, Metazoa, Chordata, Mammalia, Artiodactyla, Camelidae. The transcript is spliced from 3 exons.
UCCCUUCUCGCCUCUCUGUGGAGCUAUCUGAGGAUGUGGUUGACGGUUUCUAAAGAUGAUUCUCUGUGACAUAUACACUGGGAAUGUCUUUGAGGUUCCUCAUUAUAUCUAAUAUCUUUUCAGAUCCUCGACACUCUGAUUCUCCUUUUCCAUCUUGCGUCUGAUGUUUAUGAACUUCUGUGGAAGCUUAUUCUUCUUGCUGCCUCCUGGGGAGUUUCUAUUUUUCUCUUGUUCGUCUGGAGGACCGUCCUUGCUGUAAAGCCUCCAGUGUGUCAAGUUACUUUAAAGCAGAUGACUGAGCAGAGCAAGAAUUUGGAGAAUGAAAACAGAGAACUUGCAGAAAAUAUAUCUGCUUGGGUGCAGAAGGUAUCCUUGUCCUUUUGCUUUUUUUUUUUUUGUGAUUUUACCUUCAGUUCCUCCCCACUCUGGCAGUUCAGUUAUUUGGCUCUCUUUUCCUUCAUCCUACUGUCCUGUUCCAUGUGUUCCAUAAGAGGUCUAGGUUCAAAGCAAGUGUCCUAGAUUAAAAAAAAAACAAAAAAACCCAAAAAACAAAUUUCUUCUGUAGAGCACAGGGAACACUACUUGAUAUCUUGUAACCUAUAAUGAAAAAGAAUGUGAAGACAAACAUAGGUGUAUAUAUAUAUGUGACUGAAACAUGCUGUACACCAGAAAAUUGACACAUUGUAACUGACUAUA